GGCAGCGGUGCCAAAGUGGGCUGGCAGACCGAGGCAAACACAGCACAGGGCAGAGCAGAGGGUGAUCCAAAGGCUGGUGAUUUGAUUAUGUUGGCUGUGUGUGAGCAGACGUCCCUCUGUCACCUCGUGUACGGACAGACGCACUCACGCCAGUAGGAGGGGAUUGUGGGAAGGGGGUGUAGCUCUCAGAGGGUGUGCUCUACUCCUCUCUUUUCCCUUCUUCCCGCCAUCACGGCCCUCUUCUCCGUCAGUCGUCCGGCCCAGCCCGCCGCUCACUACAGGCUUCAGGAAGGAUACCUUUGCGGAUCUUCGAUGUUGAAGCAACGUGGAUGCUGUCCUUGGAGCUGAGGUAGUAGAUUGAAUAGUUGUGGGGUUGUGUAACCUCUUUUUUAAAUAACUAUACAAUCUACUGUCUUUCCCAAGAGACAGCCGAGUCAGCCGCUCGCCGACUGCCGUCUCCAAGCAAAAACACGAGCUUUCAGCAGUCUUAUUCUUGUUUUCACGCCGAGCAGGUAAAUAGGCCCAACAUUUUUAGAAAGGUGAACCUGGGGUGUGUUUGACUUGGGCUCUGACAGGGUGAGGUAGUAGGUUGUAUAGUUUGGUGGGUGGGACUGCACCCUGCUCAGGUGAUAACUAUACAGUCUAUUGCCUUCCCUGAGGAGCUCGCUGCACACUGAGGAACAUACAACACAUGCUCAUGGCUCAAGUAUGACGUUUACUGCCAGAUAUAAUAAAAAAGGAGGAGGAAGACACGCAGCAUGAUUAGUGUUGAAUUGACUGGAAGUGUUAACUUAUGUGCUUUUAAAAGAUGUACAUUUUAAUAAAGUCACAUUUGUCUUAAA
Long non-coding RNA from Maylandia zebra (zebra mbuna), 842 nucleotides. RefSeq lists it as uncharacterized. Lineage: Eukaryota; Metazoa; Chordata; Actinopteri; Cichliformes; Cichlidae. The record is from RefSeq and is a predicted model, not a curated record.